AUGAUGCCUCUGGCUUGCGCGCUUGGGGAAGAAAACGUAGCCACCUUCCUAAUACUAAAGCUGUUUCCAAGAGAGUUGCAAGAUGAAAACCACGACCAAAUCAAAUGCACGGACGACAACAUCAACAGCAGCAUGCAGAUCGAUGAUCUCGCCUCCUCCCUAGCGCAGCAGAUCCUUGGGCGCUGCUACCCACUAUUCAGGAAGCGCCAGUCACUAGGACCACAAAUCAACAGAUUCAACAGCACACAAAGACCAUGGGUUGGUGGAUUCACAAGAAAAGGAAGAGGAACCAUAUGUUACAUGUACGAGAGCUUGAGGAUUUGCUGGCCGAGCUCAACAGUGCCGCCUUGCUGA
RNAcentral lists this ribosomal RNA (354 nucleotides) under Triticum aestivum (bread wheat). Its description in RNAcentral is "partial small subunit ribosomal RNA". Lineage: Eukaryota; Viridiplantae; Streptophyta; Magnoliopsida; Poales; Poaceae. The record is from RNAcentral.